AGUGAACGCUGGCGGCAGGCCUAACACAUGCAAGUCGAGCGGCAGCGCGUCCGACCACCCUCGGGUGGUCGGAUGGCGGCGAGCGGCGGACGGGUGAGGAAUGCAUCGGAAUCUGCCUCGUUGUGGGGGAUAACGUAGGGAAACUUACGCUAAUACCGCAUACGACCUACGGGUGAAAGUGGGGGACCUUCGGGCCUCACGCGAUGAGAUGAGCCGAUGCCGGAUUAGCUAGUUGGCGGGGUAAAGGCCCACCAAGGCGACGAUCCGUAGCUGGUCUGAGAGGAUGAUCAGCCACACUGGAACUGAGACACGGUCCAGACUCCUACGGGAGGCAGCAGUGGGGAAUAUUGGACAAUGGGGGCAACCCUGAUCCAGCCAUGCCGCGUUGUGUAGAAGGACGU
RNAcentral lists this ribosomal RNA (401 nucleotides) under uncultured bacterium. Its description in RNAcentral is "bacterial SSU rRNA". It matches the Rfam family "Bacterial small subunit ribosomal RNA", at positions 30 to 418 of the family's 1533-position model. The record is from RNAcentral.